Molecule: ribosomal RNA, 1281 nt
Filed under: Levilactobacillus brevis
Lineage: Bacteria; Bacillati; Bacillota; Bacilli; Lactobacillales; Lactobacillaceae
Description: bacterial SSU rRNA
Rfam family: Bacterial small subunit ribosomal RNA
Source: RNAcentral
AUAAGAUGAGAGUUUGAUCCUGGCUCAGGACGAACGCUGGCGGCAUGCCUAAUACAUGCAAGUCGAACGAGCUUCCGUUGAAUGACGUGCUUGCACUGAUUUCAACAAUGAAGCGAGUGGCGAACUGGUGAGUAACACGUGGGGAAUCUGCCCAGAAGCAGGGGAUAACACUUGGAAACAGGUGCUAAUACCGUAUAACAACAAAAUCCGCAUGGAUUUUGUUUGAAAGGUGGCUUCGGCUAUCACUUCUGGAUGAUCCCGCGGCGUAUUAGUUAGUUGGUGAGGUAAAGGCCCACCAAGACGAUGAUACGUAGCCGACCUGAGAGGGUAAUCGGCCACAUUGGGACUGAGACACGGCCCAAACUCCUACGGGAGGCAGCAGUAGGGAAUCUUCCACAAUGGACGAAAGUCUGAUGGAGCAAUGCCGCGUGAGUGAAGAAGGGUUUCGGCUCGUAAAACUCUGUUGUUAAAGAAGAACACCUUUGAGAGUAACUGUUCAAGGGUUGACGGUAUUUAACCAGAAAGCCACGGCUAACUACGUGCCAGCAGCCGCGGUAAUACGUAGGUGGCAAGCGUUGUCCGGAUUUAUUGGGCGUAAAGCGAGCGCAGGCGGUUUUUUAAGUCUGAUGUGAAAGCCUUCGGCUUAACCGGAGAAGUGCAUCGGAAACUGGGAGACUUGAGUGCAGAAGAGGACAGUGGAACUCCAUGUGUAGCGGUGGAAUGCGUAGAUAUAUGGAAGAACACCAGUGGCGAAGGCGGCUGUCUAGUCUGUAACUGACGCUGAGGCUCGAAAGCAUGGGUAGCGAACAGGAUUAGAUACCCUGGUAGUCCAUGCCGUAAACGAUGAGUGCUAAGUGUUGGAGGGUUUCCGCCCUUCAGUGCUGCAGCUAACGCAUUAAGCACUCCGCCUGGGGAGUACGACCGCAAGGUUGAAACUCAAAGGAAUUGACGGGGGCCCGCACAAGCGGUGGAGCAUGUGGUUUAAUUCGAAGCUACGCGAAGAACCUUACCAGGUCUUGACAUCUUCUGCCAAUCUUAGAGAUAAGACGUUCCCUUCGGGGACAGAAUGACAGGUGGUGCAUGGUUGUCGUCAGCUCGUGUCGUGAGAUGUUGGGUUAAGUCCCGCAACGAGCGCAACCCUUAUUAUCAGUUGCCAGCAUUCAGUUGGGCACUCUGGUGAGACUGCCGGUGACAAACCGGAGGAAGGUGGGGAUGACGUCAAAUCAUCAUGCCCCUUAUGACCUGGGCUACACACGUGCUACAAUGGACGGUACAACGAGU